RNAcentral lists this small nuclear RNA (23 nucleotides) under Arabidopsis thaliana (thale cress). RNAcentral's name for it is "snRNA_00120". Lineage: Eukaryota; Viridiplantae; Streptophyta; Magnoliopsida; Brassicales; Brassicaceae. The record is from RNAcentral.
AUAACUUUGUAACAUUGAUAUCU